This 920-nucleotide ribosomal RNA is filed under the name Nematoda environmental sample. RNAcentral describes it as "bacterial SSU rRNA". It matches the Rfam family "Eukaryotic small subunit ribosomal RNA", at positions 88 to 1019 of the family's 1831-position model. The record is from RNAcentral. Lineage: Eukaryota; Metazoa; Nematoda.
UGCGAAUAGCUCAUUACAACAGCCAUUGUUUCUUGGAUCUUACUCUCUACUUGGAUAACUGUGGUAAUUCUAGAGCUAAUACAUGCACUGUAGUCCCGACGUGAGGAGGGGCGCAUUUAUUAGAACUAAACCAAUCGGGUUCGCCCGUUGUUUGGUGACUCUGAAUAACUCCGCAGAUCGCACGGUCUAGCACCGGCGACAGUUCCUUCAAGUGUCUGCCUUAUCAACUUUCGAUGGUAGUUUAUGUGACUACCAUGGUUGUAACGGGUAACGGAGAAUUAGGGUUCGACUCCGGAGAGGGAGCCUGAGAAACGGCUACCACAUCCAAGGAAGGCAGCAGGCGCGCAAAUUACCCACUCUCGGCACGAGGAGGUAGUGACGAAAAAUAACGAGACAGUUCUCUACUGAGGUCUGUCAUCGGAAUGGGUACAAUCUAAACCCUUUAACGAGGAUCUAUUGGAGGGCAAGUCUGGUGCCAGCAGCCGCGGUAAUUCCAGCUCCAAUAGCGUAUAUUAAAGUUGUUGCGGUUAAAAAGCUCGUAGUUGGAUCUCUGGUCUUGUCGGCCGGUCUCCCUCUGGGUAGCACUGGUGUGGGCGGACCCGGACUGCUAGUUGUCCAUGCGUGCCUUUAACCGGGUGCGUAUGGUGGCUAGCGCGUUUACUUUGAAAAAAUUAGAGUGCUCAAAGCAGGCGAGUGCCUGGAUAGUGGUGCAUGGAAUAAUGGAAUAGGACGUCAGUUCUAUUUGUUGGUUCGGAAUUUGACGUAAUGAUUAAGAGGGACAGACGGGGGCAUUCGGUAUUGCUACGCUAGAGGUGAAAUUCUUGGAUCGUAGCAGGACGGACAACUGCGAAAGCAUUUGCCAAGAAUGUUUUCAUUAAUCAGAACGAAAGUUAAAGGUUCGAAAGCGAUCAGAUACCGCC